CCUACGGGUGGCAGCAGUGAGGAAUAUUGGUCAAUGGUCGGGAGACUGAACCAGCCAAGCCGCGUGAGGGAUGAAGGUACAGAGUAUCGUAAACCUCUUUUGUCAGGGAACAAAGGCGGGGACGUGUCCCCGGAUGAGUGUACCUGAAGAAAAAGCAUCGGCUAACUCCGUGCCAGCAGCCGCGGUAAUACGGAGGAUGCGAGCGUUAUCCGGAUUUAUUGGGUUUAAAGGGGGCGCAGGCGGUCUGUUAAGUCAGCGGUAAAAGCCCGGGGCUCAACCCCGGCCCGCCGUUGAAACUGGCAGUCUCGAGUGGGAGAGAAGUAUGCGGAAUGCGCGGUGGAGCGGUGAAAUGCAUAGAGAUCGCGCAGAACUCCGAUUGCGAAGGCAGCAUGCCGGCUCCACACUGACGCUGAGGCACGAAAGCGUGGGUAUCGAACAGGAUUAGAUACCCUUGUAGUC
Molecule: ribosomal RNA, 459 nt
Filed under: uncultured bacterium
Lineage: Bacteria
Description: partial 16S ribosomal RNA
Rfam family: Bacterial small subunit ribosomal RNA
Source: RNAcentral